UACGUAGGGUGCAAGCGUUGUCCGGAAUUAUUGGGCGUAAAGAGCUCGUAGGCGGUCUGUCGCGUCUGCUGUGAAAGCUCGGGGCUUAACCCCGGGCCUGCAGUGGGUACGGGCAGACUAGAGUGCGGUAGGGGAGACUGGAAUUCCUGGUGUAGCGGUGAAAUGCGCAGAUAUCAGGAGGAACACCGGUGGCGAAGGCGGGUCUCUGGGCCGAUACUGACGCUGAGGAGCGAAAGCGUGGGGAGCAAACAGG
RNAcentral lists this ribosomal RNA (253 nucleotides) under uncultured bacterium. RNAcentral describes it as "partial 16S ribosomal RNA". It matches the Rfam family "Bacterial small subunit ribosomal RNA", at positions 524 to 776 of the family's 1533-position model. The record is from RNAcentral.